CAAUAGCGUAUAUUAACGUUGUUGCAGUUGAAAAGCUCGUAGUUGAACUUUUGGUAGGAGCGACCUGGCCUUGGGCGCAUGCCCUUGUUUGCCGUGUGUCGUGUCUGGCCAUCCUUUUCUUCGUUUUUCGGAGGAAUCUUUUACUGUGAGUAAACUGGAGUGCUCAAAACAAGACGUUUGUUUGGUACAUUAAAGCAUGGAAUAAUAAGAUAGGACCUGGUUACUAUUUUGUUGGUUUGCAUAGCUAGGUAAUGAUUAACAGGGACAGUUGGGGGUAUUCGUAUUUAAUUGUCAGAGGUGAAAUUCUUGGAUUUAUGAAAGACGAACGACUGCGAAAGCAUUUACCAAGGAUGUUUNCAUUA
This 362-nucleotide ribosomal RNA is filed under the name uncultured eukaryote. Its description in RNAcentral is "partial 18S ribosomal RNA". It matches the Rfam family "Eukaryotic small subunit ribosomal RNA", at positions 592 to 975 of the family's 1831-position model. The record is from RNAcentral.